AUUGAACGCUGGCGGCAGGCCUAACACAUGCAAGUCGAACGGUAACAGGAAGAAGCUUGCUUCUUUGCUGACGAGUGGCGGAUGGGUGAGUAAUGUCUGGGAAACUGCCUGAUGGAGGGGGAUAACUACUGGAAACGGUAGCUAAUACCGCAUAACGUCGCAAGACCAAAGAGGGGGACCUUCGGGCCUCUUGCCAUCGGAUGUGCCCAGAUGGGUUUAGCUAGUAGGUGGGGUAACGGCUCACCUAGGCGACGAUCCCUAGCUGGUCUCAGAGGAUGACCAGCCACACUGGAACUGAGACACGGUCCAGACUCCUACGGGAGGCAGCAGUGGGGAAUAUUGCACAAUGGGCGCAAGCCUGAUGCAGCCAAGCCACGUGUAUGAAGAAGACCUUCGGGUUGUAAAGUACUUUCAGCGGGGAGGAAGGGAGUAAAGUUAAUACCUUUGCUCAUUGACGUUACCCGCAGAAGAAGCACCGGCUAACUCCGUG
RNAcentral lists this ribosomal RNA (490 nucleotides) under uncultured bacterium. RNAcentral's name for it is "partial 16S ribosomal RNA". It matches the Rfam family "Bacterial small subunit ribosomal RNA", at positions 30 to 507 of the family's 1533-position model. The record is from RNAcentral.